This 409-nucleotide ribosomal RNA is filed under the name uncultured bacterium. Its description in RNAcentral is "bacterial SSU rRNA". It matches the Rfam family "Bacterial small subunit ribosomal RNA", at positions 355 to 776 of the family's 1533-position model. The record is from RNAcentral.
UGGGGAAUCUUGCGCAAUGAGCGAAAGCUUGACGCAGCGACGCCGCGUGGGGGAUGAAGGCCCUCGGGUUGUAAACCCCUUUCGGCAGGGACGAAGCGAAAGUGACGGUACCUGCAGAAGAAGCUCCGGCUAACUACGUGCCAGCAGCCGCGGUGAGACGUAGGGAGCGAGCGUUGUCCGGAUUCAUUGGGCGUAAAGCGCGCGUAGGCGGCCCGGUAAGUCGGAUGUGAAAUCCCGGAGCUCAACUCCGGAACUGCACCCGAUACUGCCGGGCUCGAGGUAGGUAGGGGAGAUCGGAAUUCCUGGUGUAGCGGUGGAAUGCGCAGAUAUCAGGAGGAACACCGGUGGCGAAGGCGGAUCUCUGGGCCUUACCUGACGCUGAGGUGCGAAAGCUAGGGGAGCGAACAGG